ACAGCAGCCGCCACGGUAAUACGUAGGGCGCAAGCGUUAUCCGGAAUUAUUGGGCGUAAAGAGCUCGUAGGCGGUUUGUCGCGUCUGCCGUGAAAGUCCGGGGCUCAACCCCGGAUCUGCGGUGGGUACGGGCAGACUAGAGUGAUGUAGGGGAGACUGGAAUUCCUGGUGUAGCGGUGAAAUGCGCAGAUAUCAGGAGGAACACCGAUGGCGAAGGCAGGUCUCUGGGCAUUAACUGACGCUGAGGAGCGAAAGCAUGGGGAGCGAACAGGAUUAGAUACCCGCGUAGUCCCUGUCUCUUAUAC
This 305-nucleotide ribosomal RNA is filed under the name uncultured bacterium. RNAcentral's name for it is "partial 16S ribosomal RNA". It matches the Rfam family "Bacterial small subunit ribosomal RNA", at positions 508 to 807 of the family's 1533-position model. The record is from RNAcentral.